RNAcentral lists this long non-coding RNA (236 nucleotides) under Malus domestica (apple). Its description in RNAcentral is "long non-coding RNA (MDOM_LNC002870)". Lineage: Eukaryota; Viridiplantae; Streptophyta; Magnoliopsida; Rosales; Rosaceae. The record is from RNAcentral.
CCAUUUGAAGAUAAGAAAGACGGGCGCCAUAUAUUAUCCUGAUGCGGCUCGCCUAUAUUAGUCCUAAGACUCAAAUCUAAGCAAAUGUUAAAUGGGCAAGCCAUUUUCAGAAAUUGAUGAAAGAAAAAGGUUGGAUAUAGUGAAAUCUCAGAAAUACAGCAGAGACAAUUUUCACAAGUGGGAAAUCUUCAAAGUGUGCAAAUUUGAAUACAAUCAAUACCUCUAUAAAAGAAGAG